Molecule: unclassified non-coding RNA, 400 nt
Filed under: uncultured fungus
Lineage: Eukaryota; Fungi
Description: sequence contains ITS1
Source: RNAcentral
GGACUACCAGGGUAUCUAAUCCUGUUCGCUACCCAUGCUUUCGAGCCUCAGCGUCAGUUACAGACCAGAGAGCCGCCUUCGCCACUGGUGUUCUUCCAUAUAUCUACGCAUUCCACCGCUACACAUGGAGUUCCACUCUCCUCUUCUGCACUCAAGAAAGACAGUUUCCGAUGCUAUUCCUCGGUUAAGCCGAGGGCUUUCACAUCUGACUUAUCUUUCCGCCUGCGCUCGCUUUACGCCCAAUAAAUCCGGACAACGCUUGCCACCUACGUAUUACCGCGGCUGCUGGCACGUAGUUAGCCGUGACUUUCUGGUUGAUUACCGGCAAAUAAUGAGCAGUUACUCUCACUAUCUUUCUUCACCAACAACAGAGCUUUACGAUCCGAAAACCUUCUUCACU